ACUGCUAUCGGAUUGAUACUAAGCCAUGCGAGUCUUUGUAGUAAUACAAGGCAGACGGCUCAGUAACGCGUAGUCAACCUACCCUAUGGACGAGGAUAACCUCGGGAAACUGAGAAUAAUACUCGAUAGAUCAUUAUACCUGGAAUGGUUUAUGGUCCAAAUGAUUUAUCGCCGUAGGAUGGGACUGCGUCCUAUCAGUUUGUUGGUGAGGUAAUGGCCCACCAAGACUAUUACAGGUACGGGCUCUGAGAGGAGAGGCCCGGAGAUGGGUACUGAGACACGGACCCAGGUCCUAUGGGGCGCAGCAGGCGAGAAAACUUUGCAAUGUGCGAAAGCACGACAAGGUUAAUCCGAGUGUUUCCUGCUAAAGGAAUCUUUUGUCAGUCCUAGAAACACUGAUGAAUAAGGGGUGGGCAAGUUCUGGUGUCAGCCGCCGCGGUAAAACCAGCACCUCAAGUGGUCAGGAGGAUUAUUGGGCCUAAAGCAUCCGUAGCCGGCUGUGUUAGUUUUCGGUUAAAUCCAUGCGCUCAACGUAUGGGCUGCCGGGAAUACUGCAGAGCUAGGGAGUGGGAGAGGUAGACGGUACUCGGUAGGAAGGGGUAAAAUCCUUUGAUCUAUUGAUGACCACCUGUGGCGAAGGCGGUCUACCAGAACACGUCCGACGGUGAGGGAUGAAAGCUGGGGGAGCAAACCGGAUUAGAUACCCGGGUAGUCCCAGCUGUAAACCAUGCAAACUCAGUGAUGCACUGGCUUGUGGCCAAUGCAGUGCCGCAGGGAAGCCGUUAAGUUUGCCGCCUGGGAAGUAUGUACGCAAGUAUGAAACUUAAAGGAAUUGGCGGGGGAGCACCACAAGGGGUGAAG
This 861-nucleotide ribosomal RNA is filed under the name uncultured archaeon. RNAcentral's name for it is "bacterial SSU rRNA". It matches the Rfam family "Archaeal small subunit ribosomal RNA", at positions 26 to 893 of the family's 1478-position model. The record is from RNAcentral.